RNAcentral lists this long non-coding RNA (372 nucleotides) under Erythranthe guttata (spotted monkey flower). RNAcentral's name for it is "long non-coding RNA (EGUT_LNC002069)". The record is from RNAcentral. Lineage: Eukaryota; Viridiplantae; Streptophyta; Magnoliopsida; Lamiales; Phrymaceae.
AAAAAGCCCUAAAUUUUCGAAAUCAUUCCCAAUCUUUUAAAAUUUUAUGAAAAUCAUUUUCAAUACUAUUGAUGCCCUUUAAUUGCAGCAAGAAAUCGAAAUUUCUUACCUUAAAUUCGAAGAAAGAAAUAACCGAAAGGGAGAGAGACUUUCAAGCACCGAAGUCCAACCAAGCUACCUUGAUCGUGAAAGAAAUGGUGUGAGCUUCAAGGAGGGAGGAGUUAUGAUCUCCCGAAAGAAGGCAAGUGGUCUUGAUGGUGUUCUUGGAGUAGUCCAAGGCAAGAGUUAAAUAAGGAACUCUCAUUUUAAAUUUUGGGAAUUUCUUUGAAAAGGUGAAGUGAGGUGGAGAGAGGAGGGCCGAUGAUGGUGGUG